UCCGUAGGUGAACCUGCGGAAGGAUCAUUGUCGU
RNAcentral lists this ribosomal RNA (34 nucleotides) under Arisaema angustatum. RNAcentral's name for it is "partial 18S ribosomal RNA". The record is from RNAcentral. Lineage: Eukaryota; Viridiplantae; Streptophyta; Magnoliopsida; Alismatales; Araceae.